This 402-nucleotide ribosomal RNA is filed under the name Triticum aestivum (bread wheat). RNAcentral describes it as "partial small subunit ribosomal RNA". The record is from RNAcentral. Lineage: Eukaryota; Viridiplantae; Streptophyta; Magnoliopsida; Poales; Poaceae.
AUGCACUACGCGGACAGGCGGAGCACCGCGUGCGAGGACGUGCUGCCCGAGCAGGUCGCCGGCUGCUCCGACCUCAACAUCACCGCCUUCCUCUACCGCGUCAUCCACGCCGAGGACCCCGACCUCGUCAUCUUCACAGUUCACUACUCGAGGCGCUGGGCUGCGGCUUCAUCGAGGCGGACGACAACCACUCCCGUGCAAACAAAGGUGAGCAUUCAGGAAAAGAACUCUUUCGACGAGGGAGUUGCGUAUGAGUUUGGGCUCUCGAUUGGAGCGGAGGAAGGCGGCCGGCGAGGGAGCUACGGCCGGCGCGGGCGGACGCCGGAGCUGCAGCAGUGGGGUGGAGCCUGGCGGAGGGGAGGAGCGAUGGAGGAAGACGAAGAUCCCCGGCGACAAGAAUUU